RNAcentral lists this ribosomal RNA (253 nucleotides) under uncultured bacterium. RNAcentral's name for it is "partial 16S ribosomal RNA". It matches the Rfam family "Bacterial small subunit ribosomal RNA", at positions 524 to 776 of the family's 1533-position model. The record is from RNAcentral.
UACAGAGGGGGCAAGCGUUAUUCGGAAUUAUUGGGCGUAAAGGGCGCGUAGGCGGCGAUUCAAGUGACGGGUGAAAUCCCUCGGCUUAACCGAGGAACUGCCUGUCAGACUGGAUUGCUUGAGGCCGGGAGAGGCGAGUGGAAUUCCCAGUGUAGCGGUGAAAUGCGUAGAUAUUGGGAGGAACACCAGCGGCGAAGGCGGCGCUCUGGGCCGGUACUGACGCUGAGGAGCGAAAGCGUGGGUAGCAAACAGG